GUGCUCACUUCAGCAGCACAUAUACUAUAUGAAAGUGGAACAAUACAGAGAAGAUUAACACGGCCCCUGCACAAGGAUGACACACAAAUUCAUGAAGCAUUCUGUAUUUUU
This is a small nuclear RNA of Ailuropoda melanoleuca (giant panda), 111 nucleotides long. NCBI's taxonomy places the organism in Eukaryota, Metazoa, Chordata, Mammalia, Carnivora, Ursidae. The record is from Ensembl.